Molecule: ribosomal RNA, 483 nt
Filed under: uncultured bacterium
Lineage: Bacteria
Description: partial 16S ribosomal RNA
Rfam family: Bacterial small subunit ribosomal RNA
Source: RNAcentral
GAUGAACGCUGGCGGCGUGCUUAACACAUGCAAGUCGAACGGUGAAGCAGGAGCUUGCUCUUGUGGAUCAGUGGCGAACGGGUGAGUAACACGUGAGCAACCUGCCCCUGACUCUGGGAUAAGCGCUGGAAACGGCGUCUAAUACUGGAUAUGUGAUGUGACCGCAUGGUCUGCAUCUGGAAAGAAUUUCGGUUGGGGAUGGGCUCGCGGCCUAUCAGCUUGUUGGUGAGGUAAUGGCUCACCAAGGCGUCGACGGGUAGCCGGCCUGAGAGGGUGACCGGCACAGUGGGACUGAGACACGGCCCAGACUACUUCGGGAGGCAGCAGUGGGGAAUAUUGCACAAUGGGCGGAAGCCUGAUGCAGCAACGCCGCGUGAGGGAUGACGGCCUUCGGGUUGUAAACCUCUUUUAGCAGGGAAGAAGCGAAAGUGACGGUACCUGCAGAAAAAGCACCGGCUAACUACGUGCCAGCCGCCGCAGUAA